This 611-nucleotide ribosomal RNA is filed under the name uncultured Acidobacteriota bacterium. RNAcentral describes it as "bacterial SSU rRNA". It matches the Rfam family "Bacterial small subunit ribosomal RNA", at positions 8 to 651 of the family's 1533-position model. Lineage: Bacteria; Pseudomonadati; Acidobacteriota. The record is from RNAcentral.
AGAGUUUGAUCCUGGCUCAGAAUCAACGCUGGCGGCGUGCCUAACACAUGCAAGUCGCACGAGAAAGUGGAGCAAUCCAUGAGUAAAGUGGCGUACGGGUGAGUAACACGUGACUAACCUACCCUCGAGUGGGGAAUAACCUCGGGAAACCGGGGCUAAUACCGCAUAACAUCGCGAGAUCAAAGCAGCAAUGCGCUUGAGGAGGGGGUCGCGUCUGAUUAGCUAGUUGGUAGGGUAACGGCCUACCAAGGCGAUGAUCAGUAGCCGGCCUGAGAGGGCGCACGGCCACACUGGAACUGAAACACGGUCCAGACUCCUACGGGAGGCAGCAGUGGGGAAUUUUGCGCAAUGGGGAAAACCCUGACGCAGCAACGCCGCGUGGAGGAUGAAGUCCCUUGGGACGUAAACUCCUUUCGAUCGGGACGAUUAUGGCGGUACCGGAAGAAGAAGCCCCGGCUAACUUCGUGCCAGCAGCCGCGGUAAUACGAGGGGGGCAAGCGUUGUUCGGAAUUAUUGGGCGUAAAGGGUGCGUANGCGGUGCGGUAAGUCUGAUGUGAAAUCUCCGGGCUCAACUCGGAGUCUGCAUCAAAAACUGCCAUGCUGGAGUGUGG